AGUGAACGCUGGCGGUAGGCCUAACACAUGCAAGUCGAACGGCAGCACAGUAAGAGCUUGCUCUUACGGGUGGCGAGUGGCGGACGGGUGAGGAAUACAUCGGAAUCUACUUUUUCGUGGGGGAUAACGUAGGGAAACUUACGCUAAUACCGCAUACGACCUACGGGUGAAAGCAGGGGAUCUUCGGACCUUGCGCGAUUGAAUGAGCCGAUGUCGGAUUAGCUAGUUGGCGGGGUAAAGGCCCACCAAGGCGACGAUCCGUAGCUGGUCUGAGAGGAUGAUCAGCCACACGGGAACUGAGACACGGUCCAGACUCCUACGGGAGGCAGAAGUGGGGAAUAUUGGACAAUGGGCGCAAGCCUGAUCCAGCCAUACCGCGGGGGUGAAGAAGGCCUUCGGGUUGUAAAGCCCUUUUGUUGGGAAAGAAAAGCAGCAGGUUAAUACCCCGCUGUUCUGACGGUACCCAAAGAAUAAGCACCGGCUAACUUCGU
Molecule: ribosomal RNA, 491 nt
Filed under: uncultured bacterium
Lineage: Bacteria
Description: partial 16S ribosomal RNA
Rfam family: Bacterial small subunit ribosomal RNA
Source: RNAcentral